RNAcentral lists this long non-coding RNA (521 nucleotides) under Rattus norvegicus (Norway rat). RNAcentral describes it as "long non-coding RNA NONRATT006681". Lineage: Eukaryota; Metazoa; Chordata; Mammalia; Rodentia; Muridae. The record is from RNAcentral.
CCGGAGUCCCUGAAAAGGUGCCCCGGGAACAGGACUCCCUUUGCAGGGCCCCGAGGAUUGAUGAGAAUCCCCCAUCCCCAACCACCCAGAGGAUAAGCAGGUGAGUCUGUCUAGAGACAAGGUCAGACCCAGCAGGCUGCUCUACUCUUGGUCUUGGAGAGGGAACCCGGUGUCUUUCCCAGACCGGGCACUCACCUCAUUUUCCUGCCUUGUGUGCUCCUGGCUUUGGUCCCUUCUGCCCGACUUGUCUGUGAGCUCGUCCCAGUCCCCGGUGUGGUGUCAGCGAUGCCUUAUCUUUGUUCUGAGGUCCCUGUGUGUCUCUGGAAUUGGCUGGCAUUCUCCAUUCAGGUCACGCCUUCCCCUGCCUGCAACAGAUCCCCUCUCCCCCACUCCCUCUGGCUUUCCCUCUCUCCUCUCUCUGACUGAGCUUAUGCACACUCAGAGGGACCUGACAGACUGUUUCUUUGGAAGAUCUGCUAGCCAAUCCCCUCCUUGGGAGGGACUGCAGCCCUUGAGAAAAA